Long non-coding RNA from Cynoglossus semilaevis (tongue sole), 1889 nucleotides. RefSeq lists it as uncharacterized. The transcript has 2 exons. Lineage: Eukaryota; Metazoa; Chordata; Actinopteri; Pleuronectiformes; Cynoglossidae. The record is from RefSeq and is a predicted model, not a curated record.
CUGCUCACACACACACACACAAAUGAUAUCAGUUGAGUGUGUAAACACAUAUUAAUUCCUUGAAGCCGGUGUUGACUGAUGAUUAUCCAGAGUUUAUUGUACGUUUUAUUGUUGUACCUCCUGUAGUUUUAUUGAAUGCUGUCCAUUUUAGUUGGUGUCGGAUGAAAAUGAAGGAGUCUGGUCGGACUGACUCAGCCGUGGACUUUCAUCCACUGUAAUUUUAUUAAGACUUAAAUCUGAUCUUGUCUCCAGAUAAUUUGGUCAUCUGCUGAGUAGAAAGAUGGAACAUUCUUAGAACUGUGUUGUUACGUUGUGGACCAGCCCUGAAUGAGAGGAGAGGAGCUGGGACAUUUUGCUGCAUGCUGUGUCUCUCAGGGUCUCUCUCAGGACCAUGGACAGUGCCCAUAGAUCAUGACCCUCACUUACUUGGUCAGUCAGUCAGUUGGUGGCAGGUUAUUUUAAAUGAGGUUUGGUUAACUGGGUAUUUUAUUACUCUGGUCUUACAGUCAGUUAGCAAAGAUUCUCUGGUUUAAAUCUUCGUCACAUUUCGAGCCAUAAAACAGCAAAUUUGUGGAUGAUUCCAAUUCUAAAUAAGUGUGCACAAAAACAAGUCAUCAACCUGUGCUUCACCUGCAGGGGGGGCACAUUCAGGAGUGUCUCACACACACACACACACACAAACACACACUCACGUGCUUAGGAUUGAAGGAUUAACCGGCUGCAGUUGCCUACGUGCCUGACGGGGCUGUGCAGGUGUGGUGUUUACGAUGUUUACAUCUACAGUAGGACCGGUAAAUAGGUUAGCACCUUGGAUGUUCUCUUCCUUUCUCUCCGAGCAAAUCCAGUGCAGUCCAGACUGGUUCUAAAACCAGGUCAUCUUGGACCAUCCACAGGAGGUUGGGUUUACAGUCGGCCACCGUGGCUUUACACCUCCCACAGUUAGAGUCGGACUCUUCAGAUUCAGAUUUGAAUUCAAAUGUAAACAUUAUGACAUAUAAAUAUAAACAAAGAUUUUUACUCUGCAAGUUUCAUUGACACGUUUUUUCAUGUGUUAAACCUAAUCUUCAAUUUGAAGAAGUCAAAUUCAUCACAUGCUUUUAAAGACGGAGCAGGGUUUUCGAUCUGAACCAGCAACCGUGCUGGCGGAUGAGGAGUUACUAUUAGCUCAAUAAAUGUUAGCUCAAAUAUAUGUUAACUCUGCCAACAUAAACAUUUAAGAAUGCACACACCCGUGGCCCUCUGUCUGACAUUGGCUGAUCCAAUUUAGGGAUCACAGAAUUAGCUUGUUUGUCCGGCCUGCAAGGCACCAUGGGAGGUCAGGAGCUUAGCUCCGCUGGUGAGCAGCGCUGCUAUAAAACCAGUGUCGGGAUAAACAACUCCAGAGGCUCACCAACACUUGGGUCGUAGCUCAGAGACACAGUGGGAUUACAGUUGUCUCCAAGUACGGACGUGUUGGAUUCCGAGGCUAAGAUGGUGCUGGAGGAUUCUGACGUGGAAAUGAUUGUGGCUGAGAUUGAAGUCAGCGUGAGUAAAAACCUGGACUUGUACCUGGAUCUGGUUGAUAGUGUUUCUGUUGUGGAGUUGCUGCAGUAGAUGAUUGUAUUGACAUUACUGAAGUACAGAAUGUCAAAGUGGAUAGUAGUAGUACACAGUACCAUUAUACAGCAGGGAUUGAAAACUUUUUCCCCAUGUUUGAAAAAAUCCUUUAUUUAGUUAGUUAGUAUUUCAGUGUUAGUCUUCUAAUGCUCUUAAGUUUUGUUUUUAACACCAGGGGUGAUAAAACACCAGUUAGUAACAAUUUUAUUGCCAAGCUUUUGGACUGACUUAUUCAUUUUGAAUGUAGCAGCUUUUUGUUGUUUUUCAGAUAAAAAAAAAGAAAUGAAGUAAAA